Molecule: long non-coding RNA, 1513 nt
Organism: Cryptotermes secundus
Lineage: Eukaryota; Metazoa; Arthropoda; Insecta; Blattodea; Kalotermitidae
Exons: 2
Source: RefSeq, a predicted model, not a curated record
AAUGAAACUCGGGGCCCAGGCAAGACUGGCAGCAAGUGUUGGGCAGAUCUCGGACGGAGAGGUACUCCAGGUUGCAGCACUCAGAGGAGUGUGCGGUCGUGUAUGAACUGUGGGUGACAUCUUUUACUGGCAACGUGCAACAAGUUUUCGUUCAUAUUAUUCCAAGGAGAUUCUUAAUAUAGGGGAGAGGAAGACUCGAUUGUCAUUGCUGUACGAGUACUCAGGCAUAAUCCACACUGCCAAGUGCCUUAAUUUAUACCUAAUUGAACGUUUUAAUAUCAGAAUGAAUCCCAAAACAUUGGAUCCUACUGGCCUCUACUAGUCCACGAGGUGUUCCUAGUUACCACAAGCAGAAGAGGCUUCAAGACUAAGCAUCAAGCUGACAAACUUUGGCUGUGUCACCAGAAGAGAAGCCGACACCAUAACCAUGGACGAUCCAACACAUCUUGACCCCACUGGGCUGUACUGAGGAAGGGCAGGAUUGACAACAUCAGGAGGCAACAAUGAACAUGUUUACCGAGCUGCAUCAUGUAACCACAUUUUUGAACUGAAGGGACGGACCAUUUUCUUCCGGAAAAUGAUAGGGGUUAACAAGAAAUCCACACACAACAUACGAAGGAAGAAGAAGAAGAAGAAAAAGGAAGUAGGGACAUGUGACGAACGUGCGUAUCUGAUGAAAGCCAGGGCGAAGGGAGCUGGGGGGGCGAGAGACGGCAGUGAUCAGCUGUUUCUGCUAGCUCCUGGUCGCCCGACCCAGAGGAAGACUGCCAAUGACUACAUCAGGGUUGUGCGACCACGUGUCCCGGCUUUUGAUUCGAGUCGCCAUUCGACUCCGUGAUAAACCGCAGUUUGACCAAAAAACUCCAGUUUUGCCGCCCUAGCUUCAGUACUGUCAUCUUUGUGGGAUAUGAUGGAAGGGGCAACGGCAGGAUAACAAGUUCAUAAUUGCUGACUUCUCUGCGAAAGUGUUUGAACUAUGAAUUCUUUAUUUGUUAUCAAUAUUAAGCCACGUGAUUCUACUUUGUUAAAACUUGUAGGAGGAGGAGGAGGAGAACAGGAAAAAAAAGAAAGAAAGAAGAGGAAGAGUGCGAGGACGAGGAGGAGAAGAAGAAGAAGAAGAAUUUUCUCACGGGCAUACGUGGUUGUUCACUACCGGGUUAAAUCUCUGUAAUAGACACAAACUUCUUCUUUACUGACGCUACAAAUCUAUACGGAUUUUGACUCCCUCCAUGCUUCCUUGAGAUUUCGUAACAGUAAUUUUUUACGAGGACGUUUCGGAGACUCCGUAUCCAUCACAUGAGCCGCAUGUGGUGGACACUGACACAGUUUCCGAAACAUUUAUCUUUAGUUUCCCCGUUGUGUUGAUUUCAAAUGGAAAUACUUAUACAUCAGUUCUUUUAGUUUCUUGGGGUUGGGGUGAGACUGAAUCCACUUGGUACGUCAGCCAAUAAUUGGUUUAUUGUAUUAGGCUCCGAUAAGAGAUGAGUAUGGAGCAUUUGUUGGAAUGAGAAUU